AUAUCACCAGUUCUCCUACAAUCAUCAAAGUUAAGCAACAUUGAGCCUGGUCAGUACCUAGAUUGGUGACUGCUUGGGAAUACCAGGUGCCGGA
Non-coding RNA from Acanthosepion pharaonis, 94 nucleotides. NCBI's taxonomy places the organism in Eukaryota, Metazoa, Mollusca, Cephalopoda, Sepiida, Sepiidae. The record is from the annotation of a GenBank genome assembly.